UGGGGAAUAUUGCACAAUGGUGGGAACUCUUAUGCAGCGACGCCGCGUGCACGUAGAAGGCUUUCGAGUCGUAAAGUUCUCUUAUAUGGGAAGAUAAUUACGGUACCAUAAGAAAAAGCCCCGUCUAACUACGCGCCAGCAGCCGCGUUAAUACGUUGGGGGCUAGCGUUUCUCGGAAUCUCUGGGCGUAAAGGGUUCGCAGGCGGAAAUGCAAGUCAGGUGUAAAAGGCAGUAGCUUAACUACUGUAAGCAUUUGAAACUGCAUAUCUUGAGAAGUGUAGAGGUAAGUGGAAUUUUUCGUGUAGCGGUGAGAUUCGUAGAUAUUAAAAAGAAUACCGGUGGCGAAGGCGACUUACUGGGCUCAUUCUGACGCUGAGGAACGAAAGCGUGGGCAGCAAACAGG
RNAcentral lists this ribosomal RNA (403 nucleotides) under Fusobacteriota bacterium. RNAcentral describes it as "Fusobacteria bacterium partial 16S ribosomal RNA". It matches the Rfam family "Bacterial small subunit ribosomal RNA", at positions 355 to 776 of the family's 1533-position model. Lineage: Bacteria; Fusobacteriati; Fusobacteriota. The record is from RNAcentral.